Molecule: ribosomal RNA, 446 nt
Filed under: uncultured bacterium
Lineage: Bacteria
Description: SSU rRNA
Rfam family: Bacterial small subunit ribosomal RNA
Source: RNAcentral
AGAACGAACGCUGGCGGCAGGCUUAACACAUGCAAGUCGAACGCCCUCGCAAGGGGGAGUGGCAGACGGGUGAGUAACACGUGGGAACAUACCCUUCGGUUCGGAACAACGCCGGGAAACUGGCGCUAAUACCGGAUACGGCUUUUGAGCGAAAGAUUUAUCGCCGAAGGAUUGGCCCGCGUUCGAUUAGCUUGUUGGUGAGGUAACGGCUCACCAAGGCGACGAUCGAUAGCUGGUCUGAGAGGAUGGCCAGCCACAUUGGGACUGAGACACGGCCCAAACUCCUACGGGAGGCAGCAGUGGGGAAUAUUGGACAAUGGGCGCAAGCCUGAUCCAGCCAUGCCGCGUGAGUGAUGACGGCCUUAGGGUUGUAAAGCUCUUUCGCACGCGACGAUAAUGACGGUAGCGUGAGAAGAACGCCCGGCUAACUUCGCGCCAGCAGCCGC